This 200-nucleotide unclassified non-coding RNA is filed under the name soil metagenome. Its description in RNAcentral is "partial contains internal transcribed spacer 2 and large subunit ribosomal RNA". The record is from RNAcentral.
CCAUUUCAACCCUUAAGCCUAGCUUAGUGUAGGGAGCCUACUGUAUUGUAGCUCCUUAAAUCCAACGGCGGAUCUGUGGUAUCCUCUGAGCGUAGUAAUUUUUAUCUCGCUUUUGUUAGGUGCCGCAGCUCUCAGCCGCUAAACCCCCUAAAUUUUUAAUGGUUGACCUCGGAUCAGGUAGGAAUACCCGCUGAACUUAA